Lycium ferocissimum is the source of this 318-nucleotide long non-coding RNA. RefSeq lists it as uncharacterized. The transcript is spliced from 3 exons. The record is from RefSeq and is a predicted model, not a curated record. NCBI's taxonomy places the organism in Eukaryota, Viridiplantae, Streptophyta, Magnoliopsida, Solanales, Solanaceae.
UCUCUUCAAACACACAAAACUCUAAAACCAUUGAAACUUCUCUUACUCUCUCCGGCUCAGCUUAGGGUUUGUCUUUGCUUUCCUUUUCUGUUAGAUCCAGUUUCUCUUCAUUUUCAAGAACAUAAAAACAUGUUAUUGUCAUCUGCCUAAUUAAUUUCUUCAAUAAUCUGGUUCAGGAAAGAGUUGUAUUUCGUCAAAAUUCUUCAAAAAGCUCUCGGAAGGGUCGAGAUCCAACACCAAGUGAGGUACAUUUGCAUGUCCAUACACACGGUCAUGAUGGAAAAUCUUUUGUUGGUGAGUAAGCCCGAAUCAUGCAUG